GAUCCUGGCUCAGGAUGAACGCUGGCGGCGUGCCUAACACAUGCAAGUCGAGCGAAGCGGUUUUAAGGAAGUUUUCGGAUGGAAUUAAAACUGACUGAGCGGCGGACGGGUGAGUAACGCGUGGGUAACCUGCCUCAUACAGGGGGAUAACAGUUAGAAAUGGCUGCUAAUACCGCAUAAGCACACAGCUUCGCAUGGAGGCAGUGUGAAAACUACCGGUGGUAUGAGAUGGACCCGCGU
RNAcentral lists this ribosomal RNA (240 nucleotides) under uncultured bacterium. RNAcentral describes it as "partial 16S ribosomal RNA". It matches the Rfam family "Bacterial small subunit ribosomal RNA", at positions 15 to 236 of the family's 1533-position model. The record is from RNAcentral.